Molecule: ribosomal RNA, 497 nt
Filed under: uncultured bacterium
Lineage: Bacteria
Description: partial 16S ribosomal RNA
Rfam family: Bacterial small subunit ribosomal RNA
Source: RNAcentral
GAUGAACGCUGGCGGCGUGCCUAAUACAUGCAAGUCGAGCGAACGGACGAGAAGCUUGCUUCUCUGAUGUUAGCGGCGGACGGGUGAGUAACACGUGGAUAACCUACCUAUAAGACUGGGAUAACUUCGGGAAACCGGAGCUAAUACCGGAUAAUAUUUUGAACCGCAUGGUUCAAAAGUAAAAGACGGUCUUGCUGUCACUUAUAGAUGGAUCCGCGCUGCAUUAGCUAGUUGGUAAGGUAACGGCUUACCAAGGCAACGAUGCAUAGCCGACCUGAGAGGGUGAUCGGCCACACUGGAACUGAGACACGGUCCAGACUCCUACGGGAGGCAGCAGUAGGGAGUCUUCCGCAAUGGGCGAAAGCCUGACGGAGCAACGCCGCGUGAGUGAUGAAGGUCUUCGGAUCGUAAAACUCUGUUAUUAGGGAAGAACAUAUGUGUAAGUAACUGUGCACAUCUUGACGGUACCUAAUCAGAAAGCCACGGCUAACUACGUG